UACGGGGGGGGCAAGCGUUGUUCGGAAUUACUGGGCGUAAAGGGUUCGUAGGUGGCCUGCUAAGUCAGACGUGAAAUCCCUCAGCUUAACUGGGGAACUGCGUCUGAGACUGGUGGGCUUGAGUGCAGGAGAGGAACGCGGAAUUCCAGGUGUAGCGGUGAAAUGCGUAGAUAUCUGGAGGAACACCGGUGGCGAAGGCGGCAUUCUGGACCGACAUUGACGCUGAGGAGCGAAAGCCAGGGGAGCAAACGGG
RNAcentral lists this ribosomal RNA (253 nucleotides) under uncultured bacterium. Its description in RNAcentral is "partial 16S ribosomal RNA". It matches the Rfam family "Bacterial small subunit ribosomal RNA", at positions 524 to 776 of the family's 1533-position model. The record is from RNAcentral.